GCAUAGCUCAGUUGGAUAGAGCGUCUGACUACGGAUCAGAAGGCCGGGGGUUCGAAUCCUCUUGC
This 65-nucleotide transfer RNA is filed under the name bovine gut metagenome. It matches the Rfam family "tRNA", at positions 5 to 66 of the family's 71-position model. Rfam says of the family: Transfer RNA (tRNA) molecules are approximately 80 nucleotides in length. Their secondary structure includes four short double-helical elements and three loops (D, anti-codon, and T loops). The record is from RNAcentral.